Molecule: non-coding RNA, 103 nt
Organism: Avibacterium paragallinarum
Lineage: Bacteria; Pseudomonadati; Pseudomonadota; Gammaproteobacteria; Pasteurellales; Pasteurellaceae
Source: Rfam
CCCGCAACCAAUUCAUAGAAAGUUCAGUAAAAAGAACCCCAAUUUUGGGGUUUUUUUGUACGAGCAAUUUAGAUGUAGAACUGGGCUGAUUAGCCCUUUUUUU